RNAcentral lists this unclassified non-coding RNA (217 nucleotides) under uncultured Agaricomycetes. Its description in RNAcentral is "sequence contains ITS2". Lineage: Eukaryota; Fungi; Basidiomycota; Agaricomycetes. The record is from RNAcentral.
ACACCUCAACUCUCAUGGUCCGCCAUGAUGAGCUUGGACUUUGGGGGUCUUGCCGGACCAGCGUCGGCUCCUCUAAAAUGGAUCAGCUUGCCAGUGUUUGGUGGCGUCACAGGUGUGAUAACUAUCUACGCUUGUGGUUCCCCGCCAUGUAACCUUCAGUGAUGGAGGUCCGCUGGAGCUCACAGACGUCUCUCCUCGUGAGGACAGCUUUUUGAAC